This 22-nucleotide microRNA is filed under the name Mus musculus (house mouse). RNAcentral's name for it is "mmu-miR-467h". Its record names the gene mmu-miR-467h. The record is from miRBase by way of RNAcentral. Lineage: Eukaryota; Metazoa; Chordata; Mammalia; Rodentia; Muridae.
AUAAGUGUGUGCAUGUAUAUGU